AAAAAUAACUUAGAACCCUCCCUCCCUCAGCCGAAUAGUGUGGGUAACAGAUCAAGUCAGCAACAUAAUCAAAGCCCUGGAACCAUAUAGGUUACUUUCUUGUCUCAAUCACCUAAUUAAUACCGUCCUUUGCCACGGUCUACAUUCUGACACACUGGAC
Long non-coding RNA from Etheostoma cragini (Arkansas darter), 160 nucleotides. RefSeq lists it as uncharacterized. The record is from RefSeq and is a predicted model, not a curated record. NCBI's taxonomy places the organism in Eukaryota, Metazoa, Chordata, Actinopteri, Perciformes, Percidae. The transcript is spliced from 3 exons.